This 491-nucleotide ribosomal RNA is filed under the name uncultured bacterium. RNAcentral describes it as "partial 16S ribosomal RNA". It matches the Rfam family "Bacterial small subunit ribosomal RNA", at positions 29 to 506 of the family's 1533-position model. The record is from RNAcentral.
AGUGAACGCUGGCGGUAGGCCUAACACAUGCAAGUCGAACGGCAGCACAGUAAGAGCUUGCUCUUACGGGUAGCGAGUGGCGGACGGGUGAGGAAUACAUCGGAAUCUACUUUUUCGUGGGGGAUAACGUAGGGAAACUUACGCUAAUACCGCAUACGACCUACGGGUGAAAGCAGGGGAUCUUCGGACCUUGCGCGAUUGAAUGAGCCGAUGUCGGAUUAGCUAGUUGGCGGGGUAAAGGCCCACCAAGGCGACGAUCCGUAGCUGGUCUGAGAGGAUGAUCAGCCACACUGGAGCUGAGACACGGUCCAGGGACCUACGGGAGGCAGCAGUGGGGAAUAUUGGACAAUGGGCGCAAGCCUGAUCCAGCCAUGCCGCGUGGGUGAAGAAGGCCUGCGGGUGGUAAAGCCCUUUUGUUGGGAAAGAAAAGCAGCAGGUUAAUACCCCGCUGUUCUGACGGUACCCAAAGAAUAAGCACCGGCUAACUUCGU